Molecule: ribosomal RNA, 440 nt
Filed under: uncultured bacterium
Lineage: Bacteria
Description: partial 16S ribosomal RNA
Rfam family: Bacterial small subunit ribosomal RNA
Source: RNAcentral
CCUACGUGAGGCUGCAGUGGGGAAUAUUGCACAAUGGGGGAAACCCUGAUGCAGCGACGCCGCGUGAGUGAAGAAGUACUUCGUUAUGUAAAGCUCUAUCAGCAGGGAAGAAAAUGACGGUACCUGAGUAAGACGCCCCGGCUAACUACGUGCCAGCAGCCGCGGUAAUACGUAGGGGGCAAGCGUUAUCCGGAUUUACUGGGUGUAAAGGGAGCGUAGACGGCAGUGCAAGUCUGGAGUGAAAGGCGGGGGCUCAACCCCCGGACUGCUCUGGAAACUGUACGGCUGGAGUGCAGGAGAGGUAAGUGGAAUUCCUAGUGUAGCGGUGAAAUGCGUAGAUAGUAGGAGGAACACCAGUGGCGAAGGCGGCUUACUGGACUGUAACUGACGUUGAGGCUCGAAAGCGUGGGGAGCAAACAGGAUUAGAUACCCGUGUAGUC